This 783-nucleotide small RNA is filed under the name Pan troglodytes (chimpanzee). RNAcentral's name for it is "processed transcript". Lineage: Eukaryota; Metazoa; Chordata; Mammalia; Primates; Hominidae. The record is from RNAcentral.
GAGAACAAAGAUAGAGAUCGGGGACACGAUCCGAGUCAGAGGCAGUAUCCGCACAUACAGAGAAGAGCGAGAGAUUCAUGCCACCGCUUACUGUAAGCACAAGAUAUUUCUACCAAAUUGGUGGUUUUUCUGGAUGUGCGUCCAGUAAACCUCUUGUUCAGCUGGAAGUCAAACUUUCAAAAAGUUCAGUUAAGAUAAAGUGGACGACCCAGUGUGGAACAUUCAAAUUGCAAGGAUGCUUGAGCUGCCCACUAUCUACAGGAAAGUUUAUGACCAGCCUUUUCACAGCUCAGCCCUAGAGAAAGAAGAGGCACUAAGCAAUCCAGGCGCCCUGGACCUCCCCAGUCUCACGAGUUUGCUGAGUGAAAAAGCCAAAGAAUUCCUCAUGGAGAACAGAGUGCAGAGCUUUUACCAGCAGGAGCUGGAAAUGGUGGAGUCUUUGCUGUCCCUUGCCAAUCAGCCUGUGAUUCACAGUGCAUGCUCCGACCAAGUGAAUUUUAAGAAGGACACCACUUCCAAGGCAAUUCAUAGUAUAUUUAAGAAUGCUAUACAACUGCUGCAGGAAAAAGGACUUGUUUUCCAGAAAGAUGAUGGUUUUGAUAACCUGUACUAUGUAACCAGAGAAGACAAAGACCUGCACAGAAAGAUCCACCGGAUCAUUCAGCAGGACUGCCAGAAACCAAAUCACAUGGAGAAGGGCUGUCACUUCCUGCACAUCUUGGCCUGUGCUCGCCUGAGCAUCCGCCCGGGCCUGAGCGAGGCUGUGCUGCAGCAAGUUCUGGA